AUGGAACCUGCCUUGUACAGGGGAAUAGCCCAGGGAAACUUGGAUUAAUGCCCCGUAGUACCGUAUUUCGGCAUCGUUAUACGGUUAAAGCCUUCGGGCGGUACAAGAUGGCCAUGCGUCCCAUUAGCUUGUUGGUAAGGUAACGGCUUACCAAGGCUACGAUGGGUAGGGGCCCUGAGAGGGGGAUCCCCCACACUGGUACUGAGACACGGACCAGACUCCUACGGGAGGCAGCAGUGAGGAAUAUUGGACAAUGGAGGAGACUCUGAUCCAGCCAUGCCGCGUGCAGGAAGAAUGCCCUAUGGGUAGUAAACUGCUUUUAUACGGGAAGAAAAAGAGCUACGUGUAGCUUACUGACGGUACCGUAAGAAUAAGGACCGGCUAACUCCGUGCCAGCAGCCGCGGUAAUACGGAGGGUCCGAGCGUUAUCCGGAAUUAUUGGGUUUAAAGGGUCCGUAGGCGGGCCGAUAAGUCAGGGGUGAAAGUCUGCCGCUCAACGGUAGAACUGCCUUUGAUACUGUCGGUCUUGAGUUAUAGUGAAGUUGCCGGAAUAUGUAGUGUAGCGGUGAAAUGCAUAGAUAUUACAUAGAACACCGAUUGCGAAGGCAGGUGACUAACUAUAUACUGACGCUGAUGGACGAAAGCGUGGGGAGCGAACAGGAUUAGAUACCCUGGUAGUCCACGCCGUAAACGAUGGAUACUAGCUGUCCGGAGCCUUGAGUUCUGGGCGGCCAAGCGAAAGUGAUAAGUAUCCCACCUGGGGAGUACGUUCG
This 773-nucleotide ribosomal RNA is filed under the name Maribacter sp. SRO_476. Its description in RNAcentral is "bacterial SSU rRNA". It matches the Rfam family "Bacterial small subunit ribosomal RNA", at positions 119 to 888 of the family's 1533-position model. The record is from RNAcentral. Lineage: Bacteria; Pseudomonadati; Bacteroidota; Flavobacteriia; Flavobacteriales; Flavobacteriaceae.